This 481-nucleotide ribosomal RNA is filed under the name uncultured bacterium. RNAcentral's name for it is "partial 16S ribosomal RNA". It matches the Rfam family "Bacterial small subunit ribosomal RNA", at positions 28 to 507 of the family's 1533-position model. The record is from RNAcentral.
GACGAACGCUGGCGGCGUGCUUAACACAUGCAAGUCGAACGCUGAAGCUCAGCUUGCUGGGUGGAUGAGUGGCGAACGGGUGAGUAACACGUGAGUAACCUGCCCCCUUCUUUGGGAUAACGCCCGGAAACGGGUGCUAAUACUGGAUAUUCACUGAUCUUCGCAUGGGGGUUGGUGGAAAGGUUUUUUCUGGUGGGGGAUGGGCUCGCGGCCUAUCAGCUUGUUGGUGGGGUGAUGGCCUACCAAGGCUUUGACGGGUAGCCGGCCUGAGAGGGUGACCGGUCACAUUGGGACUGAGAUACGGCCCAGAAUCCUACGGGAGGCAGCAGUGGGGAAAAUGGCACAAUGGGCGAAAGCCUGAUGCAGCGACGCCGCGUGAGGGAUGGAGGCCUUCGGGUUGUAAACCUCUUUCGCUCAUGGUCAAGCCGCAACAGUGGUUGUGGUGAGGGUAGUGGGUAAAGAAGCGCCGGCUAACUACGUG